UACAGAGGGUGCGAGCGUUGUCCGGAAUCACUGGGCGUAAGGGGCGCGUAGGUGGCCCGACAAGUCACUGGUGAAAGCUCGACGCUCAACGUCGAGUCGGCCAGUGAUACUGUUGGGCUGGAGCACUGUAGAGGCUCAUGGAAUUCCGGGUGUAGCGGUGGAAUGCGUAGAGAUCCGGAAGAACACCGGUGGCGAAGGCGGUGAGCUGGGCAGUAGCUGACACUGAGGCGCGACAGCGUGGGGAGCAAACAGG
RNAcentral lists this ribosomal RNA (253 nucleotides) under uncultured bacterium. RNAcentral's name for it is "partial 16S ribosomal RNA". It matches the Rfam family "Bacterial small subunit ribosomal RNA", at positions 524 to 776 of the family's 1533-position model. The record is from RNAcentral.